UGCCUUUUGUGUUGCCCGCUAUUCUUUUACAUAGAUCAGUGAGGUGUCAAAAAAGGCAUAAAGUGACUUGAGCUGUUUCGUGCGUCUUGUUGCUGUUGUGCUUAAAGAUAUUU
Molecule: small nucleolar RNA, 113 nt
Organism: Hemiscyllium ocellatum (epaulette shark)
Lineage: Eukaryota; Metazoa; Chordata; Chondrichthyes; Orectolobiformes; Hemiscylliidae
Product: small nucleolar RNA SNORA13
Exons: 1
Source: RefSeq, a predicted model, not a curated record